Long non-coding RNA from Sander lucioperca (pikeperch), 232 nucleotides. RefSeq lists it as uncharacterized. The record is from RefSeq and is a predicted model, not a curated record. The transcript has 3 exons. NCBI's taxonomy places the organism in Eukaryota, Metazoa, Chordata, Actinopteri, Perciformes, Percidae.
AUCCAAACCAGGAGACCAGAGGACAGAGUUAUCAAGUUCCUGUUUGUGUUUGAUUUCUUCUGUGCAUGAAGGCAGCCAGUAAAGAGUCAACGAGAAAAUCCAAACACCAACCACACCUUGGAGCUUGUCUAUGAAGUGUCAAGCAUUGGAAAAAAGGGCAAAUAUAUAGGCAGGCCAAAGAGAGCGUCUCCUGACGCACUCUGGGUUGGAAGCACAAAGAGUUGCUGGUCCG